Molecule: unclassified non-coding RNA, 153 nt
Filed under: uncultured fungus
Lineage: Eukaryota; Fungi
Description: sequence contains ITS1
Source: RNAcentral
CCGGGUAUUGUAGGUUGGUUCGCCAGCAUACUACCUUCACCCUUUACAAAUCCGUCCACCUUCGUUGGCGUAUGAGCGUGAGUAUAUCUCCGCUUGCCAGCAAUACUUAAACCCUGCCAAACCUUUGCAGUCUGAGUAAAAUGUUAAUAAAAA